This 20-nucleotide microRNA is filed under the name Gorilla gorilla (western gorilla). RNAcentral describes it as "ggo-miR-380". Its record names the gene ggo-miR-380. Lineage: Eukaryota; Metazoa; Chordata; Mammalia; Primates; Hominidae. The record is from miRBase by way of RNAcentral. RNAcentral also lists the same sequence under 1 other name.
UAUGUAAUAUGGUCCACAUC